RNAcentral lists this long non-coding RNA (411 nucleotides) under Brassica rapa (field mustard). Its description in RNAcentral is "long non-coding RNA (BRAP_LNC005869)". The record is from RNAcentral. Lineage: Eukaryota; Viridiplantae; Streptophyta; Magnoliopsida; Brassicales; Brassicaceae.
GGAAGUAGCAAGUCCCGCUUUUCACCAAUUUAGAAAAUUUGGAAAAAAAAGAAGAGAAGAAGAUAUUGGAACUCAUGUGGUCGAGACUUACGUAAGUCUCGCCAAAUGUGAUUCAAGCAUCUUUCUUCUCUUCUUUUUUUUUAGUAUUUUUAAUAUUUUCGUCGUAAUAUCGUCGUUAGUUUACGACUCGUUUACGACGAUUUUGGCUUACGUGGAAUUAGCGUGCCCCGCUUUCUUUAUUUUUUUAAGUCUACGAGGUUUUUACGACGAUUUACCUUACGAAGUCUUUACGACGAAAUCAUCCUACGUGGAAUUAACGGGUUUUGCUUUCUUUAUUUUUUUUACUUUCGUCGUUAUUUCCACGUAAGCUAACGAGUUCUUUACGACGAUUCUGUCCUACGUGGAAUAAAC